Castor canadensis (American beaver) is the source of this 180-nucleotide unclassified non-coding RNA. NCBI's taxonomy places the organism in Eukaryota, Metazoa, Chordata, Mammalia, Rodentia, Castoridae. The record is from Ensembl.
AUUUCUCUUGAGGGUACGAUAGAGUCUAAUUUUCUUCAUUAUUCAAUUUGGAUUCUGUUAAGCGAGACAGGCAUUCACUGACAUGAAGAACAUUUAAAUUUUGGCAAAUAAGUUCAUUAGUAUUCAGAAAGCUUUGCACCCCUCAUAUUUAAUAAACCUUUCCAUUACAGAGUAAGAAAU